RNAcentral lists this ribosomal RNA (253 nucleotides) under uncultured bacterium. Its description in RNAcentral is "partial 16S ribosomal RNA". It matches the Rfam family "Bacterial small subunit ribosomal RNA", at positions 524 to 776 of the family's 1533-position model. The record is from RNAcentral.
UACGAAGGGGGCUAGCGUUGCUCGGAAUCACUGGGCGUAAAGCGCACGUAGGCGGAUCUUUAAGUCAGGGGUGAAAUCCUGGAGCUCAACUCCAGAACUGCCUUUGAUACUGGGGAUCUCGAGUCCGGAAGAGGUGAGUGGAACUCCGAGUGUAGAGGUGAAAUGCGCAGAUAUCAGGAGGAACACCAAUGGCGAAGGCAGCACUCUGGGACGGUACUGACGCUGAGACGCGAAAGCGUGGGGAGCAAACAGG